CGUUUGCUUAACUUGAAUUUCUAUGGCUGGAUUGGUAUGAUAUGAUCGAGUAAAACUGUGGAAGUAAAUACAGGUUUUCUAGUUUCAAUUGGCUUCUGGGAGUGUUGACUUGUUUCAUACGAUUGAUAACUUGGAUCAAUCCCAAUUUUUCAAUGAAAUACUCAAGUUGAAUCUGAAUGGGGAACCCCUUUUAGCUACUAAAAUUCCUAUAUUAGAAACAAAGCGAAUAGUAUAAAAUCAUUUAUUCUGUUUGAUAUCAGCAUCUAGCAUUGACAUCAGCUGCAUAUUCUGUUAUAGAAGAACGUUGCACACUAGUAUUUAUAUUUACUUUUCCAAGUCUUGUGUUGGUGAUGUUUGUAGCCAGUAUAAAUGGGAUUAUCCCUUAUAGCUGCAUAUCUCUAUUUUAUAUUUCUAUAAACAGUGAUGGUAUUAUGUUUUGCUUGCUCCCCAUAAGAGCUUGUUCUUGUUGAUGUUUAAUGGCUUGUUUUCUCCUUUUAACUGUGUUUUAGGCAGGAAUAAGUUUCAAGGCAAUCUCUAUUGCACUACAAGAACACAUUUUCCUUAUCAUUUCAAUAUUUUAUGAAGCAGGAUUUUUUUUUAUACUGUUAUUGGGAACUGAUUGGUACUGUCAUUUUGAGCUAUUAACCAUUUUGUUGCUUGAUAGGUUUUUGCUUUGUUUAUGCAGUCAUGCCAAGGUUCAAGCGUUUCCACAACCCACAAAAAUCAGCGUCUGGAUCAUCAAUUGAAGCUUCUUCACAAUCAGCUCCUGAAGUCUCUCAAAAAUCCCCACCAUCGAAGAACCCCGUGAGUACACCAUCUUGGAAUAUUGAAGCAAUAGGUUGUAUGGAGUACUCUCCAAAAUAUAUCAUUGAUUUCUUUCCUAAUUGAUAUUACUCUAUUUGGAUGGGCAACCAAGCAAGUUAUAAAUGUUAUUCAGGUUGGUUCAUGAUACAUUUAUGCUUGAUAUUUAGAUGAUGAUUGAUGAGGUGUUGUAUAAUGUAUCUAUCUAGUUUUUUUACCAACCCCUACCCCAUAAUGAAAUGAGGAAGAAGAAGAGAAGCAAAGCAUGUAAGAGAAGAAGAGAAAAUCCAAACUCCAAAGAAAACCGAGCGGAACUUAAUAGUCUAUAUUUUUCAGUUUGGAAUAUUCAUCUUGACAGAGUAAUGGGAAAUUUGUAACCUUUGAGUUCCUGUAAUCUGAACUUUCUUUUAGCAUGACUCAGGAACUUCAUAUUGUGACCUGAUAAUUGGCUUCAAAGAUUUUUUUUACAUUCUAGCUA
This is a long non-coding RNA of Lotus japonicus, 1279 nucleotides long. RefSeq lists it as uncharacterized. Lineage: Eukaryota; Viridiplantae; Streptophyta; Magnoliopsida; Fabales; Fabaceae. The record is from RefSeq and is a predicted model, not a curated record. The transcript is spliced from 2 exons.